CCUCCGCAAUGCGAGCAAUCGCGACGGGGGGACCCCAAGUGCCACUCUUAACGGGGUGGCUUUUCAUAAGUGUAAAAAGCUUUUGGAAUAAGAGCUGGGCAAGACCGGUGCCAGCCGCCGCGGUAACACUGGCAGCUCGAGUGGUAAUCGUGAUUAUUGGGUCUAAAGGGUCCGUAGCCGGUUUGGUCAGUCCUCCGGGAAAUCUGAUAGCUUAACUAUUAGGCUUUCGGGGGAUACUGCCAGACUUGGAACCGGGAGAGGUAAGAGGUACUACAGGGGUAGGAGUGAAAUCUUGUAAUCCCUGUGAGACCACCUGUGGCGAAGGCGUCUUACCAGAACGGGUUCGACGGUGAGGGACG
RNAcentral lists this ribosomal RNA (359 nucleotides) under uncultured archaeon. Its description in RNAcentral is "bacterial SSU rRNA". It matches the Rfam family "Archaeal small subunit ribosomal RNA", at positions 347 to 706 of the family's 1478-position model. The record is from RNAcentral.